RNAcentral lists this ribosomal RNA (216 nucleotides) under uncultured Lactobacillus sp. Its description in RNAcentral is "partial 16S ribosomal RNA". It matches the Rfam family "Bacterial small subunit ribosomal RNA", at positions 338 to 551 of the family's 1533-position model. Lineage: Bacteria; Bacillati; Bacillota; Bacilli; Lactobacillales; Lactobacillaceae. The record is from RNAcentral.
CCUACGGGAGGCAGCAGUAGGGAAUCUUCCACAAUGGGCGCAAGCCUGAUGGAGCAACACCGCGUGAGUGAAGAAGGGUUUCGGCUCGUAAAACUCUGUUGUUGAAGAAGAACGUUCGUCAGAGUAACUGUUCUCGCCGUGACGGUAUCCAACCAGAAAGUCACGGCUAACUACGUGCCAGCAGCCGCGGUAAUACGUGCCAGCAGCCGCGGUAAU